RNAcentral lists this ribosomal RNA (468 nucleotides) under uncultured bacterium. Its description in RNAcentral is "partial 16S ribosomal RNA". It matches the Rfam family "Bacterial small subunit ribosomal RNA", at positions 28 to 507 of the family's 1533-position model. The record is from RNAcentral.
GACGAACGCUGGCGGCGUGCUUAACACAUGCAAGUCGAACGGAAAGGUCCUGCUUUUGUGGGGUGCUCGAGUGGCGAACGGGUGAGUAACACGUGAGUAACCUGCCCUUGACUUUGGGAUAACUUCAGGAAACUGGGGCUAAUACCGGAUAGGAGCUCCUGCUGCAUGGUGGGGGUUGGAAAGUUUCGGCGGUUGGGGAUGGACUCGCGGCUUAUCAGCUUGUUGGUGGGGUAGUGGCUUACCAAGGCUUUGACGGGUAGCCGGCCUGAGAGGGUGACCGGCCACAUUGGGACUGAGAUACGGCCCAGACUCCUACGGGAGGCAGCAGUGGGGAAUAUUGCACAAUGGGCGGAAACCUGAUGCAGCAACGCCGCGUGCGGGAUGACGGCCUUCGGGUUGUAAACCGCUUUCGCCUGUGACGAAGCGUGAGUGACGGUAAUGGGUAAAGAAGCACCGGCUAACUACGUG